GAAAUGCGAUAAGUAGUGUGAAUUGCAGAAUUCAGUGAAUCAUCGAAUCCUUGAACGCACAUUGCGCCCUUUGGUAUUCCUUAGGGCAUGCCUGUUCGAGCGUCAUCUAAACCUUCAAGCCCUGCUUGGUGUUGGGUGCCUGUCCCGCCUCCGCGCGCGGACUCACCUCAAAUCCAUUGGCGGCCCCCGCGUCGGCCACGAGCGCAGCAGAAACGCGAACUCGUGAGCCCGUCCGGGCGGCUCCCAGAAGCUACACCCACCCAGUUUGACCUCGGAUCAGGUAGGGAUACCCGCUGAACUUAAGC
RNAcentral lists this unclassified non-coding RNA (305 nucleotides) under plant metagenome. RNAcentral describes it as "partial contains 5.8S ribosomal RNA, internal transcribed spacer 2, and large subunit ribosomal RNA". The stretch from base 1 to 105 matches the Rfam family "5.8S ribosomal RNA", at positions 50 to 154 of the family's 154-position model. The record is from RNAcentral.